GGGGGUGUGGCUCAGUAUUACAGCACUUGCCCGCCAUGCCCAAGGCCCUGGGCUUGAUUCCCAGCACCCCUA
This 72-nucleotide transfer RNA is filed under the name Fukomys damarensis (Damara mole-rat). It matches the Rfam family "tRNA". Rfam says of the family: Transfer RNA (tRNA) molecules are approximately 80 nucleotides in length. Their secondary structure includes four short double-helical elements and three loops (D, anti-codon, and T loops). The record is from Rfam by way of RNAcentral. Lineage: Eukaryota; Metazoa; Chordata; Mammalia; Rodentia; Bathyergidae.